UUGGCAGGAGGUGCCUUCGAUGGAGCCUCAAUGAACCCAGCUGUUUCAUUCGGACCAGCCUUGGUUAGCUGGACAUGGGACAACCACUGGAUCUACUGGGUCGGACCCCUUAUCGGUGGUGGGCUCGCUGGUCUCAUCUACGAGUUCAUCUUCAUCAGCAACACCCACGAGCAGCUCCCAACCACCGAUUAUUAAGCCUAAUCAGGGUUUAAUUGAUUUGUCUGUCACUUUGAAACCGG
Molecule: long non-coding RNA, 239 nt
Filed under: Gossypium barbadense (sea-island cotton)
Lineage: Eukaryota; Viridiplantae; Streptophyta; Magnoliopsida; Malvales; Malvaceae
Description: long non-coding RNA (GBAR_LNC003282)
Source: RNAcentral